RNAcentral lists this ribosomal RNA (58 nucleotides) under Bolbocoleon piliferum. Its description in RNAcentral is "partial 28S large subunit ribosomal RNA". It matches the Rfam family "Eukaryotic large subunit ribosomal RNA", at positions 1 to 57 of the family's 3401-position model. Lineage: Eukaryota; Viridiplantae; Chlorophyta; Ulvophyceae; Ulvales; Bolbocoleonaceae. The record is from RNAcentral.
UCGACCUGAGUUCAGGCAAGGCUACCCGCUGAACUUAAGCAUAUCAAUAAGCGGAGGA